Monodelphis domestica (gray short-tailed opossum) is the source of this 2620-nucleotide non-coding RNA. The record is from RefSeq and is a predicted model, not a curated record. NCBI's taxonomy places the organism in Eukaryota, Metazoa, Chordata, Mammalia, Didelphimorphia, Didelphidae.
GGUAGAAUUUUACAGAACUGGAAGAGAAUUUAUCACCUUACUCUGGAUUGGGAGGCAGGUGAUCUGGUCUCUGGCUCUGAUUCUGCCACUAACUUGCUGUGUGAAAUUGGAGAAGUCCAGAAUUAUAACGGGGACUUGCUCCAGCUCCAGAUGAAGAUACUGAGGCCUGAGAUAGGGGAAGAAGGAACACUCAAGUUCAUACUGUGAAUGGGUGGCAGAGCAGGGGUUUGAAUCCAGGACUGCCAGAGUGUUUCUUUCCACCACAAGCUUGCUUGCACCCCUCAUCUGGCCCAACAUUUUGCUCUUUGUAUGAAGGAGUCCCAUCUGCUCUCUGAGACCAGGAGUUCCCCUGAGGGCUGGGUCUCAAUCCAAUAUAUUUUUCUGUCUCUCUAGGUGCCAAACUCUGGGGCCUGGUCCAUAGAAUGCUUGCCUGUUGUAGUAGAAAGAACUUUUACUUUAUUUUUUAAAACCCUCACCUUCCAUCUUAGAAUCAAUAAUGGGUAUUGGUUCCAAGGAAGAAGAAUGAUAAGGGCUAGGCAAUGGGGGUCAAGUGACUUGCCCAGGGUCACACAGGUAGGAAGUGUCUGAGGCCAGAUUUGAACCUAGGACCUCCCGUCUUUAGGCCUAGCUCUCAAUCCAUUGAGCCACCCAGCUGCUCCCAGAAAGAGCCUUUAGAUCCAUAUUGGAAUCCUGGCUCUGCUGAUCACUGGUAGUAUGGACCUGGGGCAACUCCUUUCCGUUCUUUGAGCCUCAUUUUGAGGAUAAUAGUGAGAGGAAUGUUUUACGCACUUUAAGCAUUACAGAAAUGUGAGUUAUACUCAAAGAUGAGUUAUUACAAGUUAUGCUCCAAAGAAUCUUGUACUAGGGGUACAGAACUGGGUUCUUGACCUGGAUACACUACUGAGUGAUUGCAUUGUCUUGAGAAAAUACUUCUCAGGGCAGCUAGGAGACUUAGUGGAUAGAGAGCCAUGCCUAGAGAUGGAAGGUCUUGGGUUCAAAUCUAGCCUAGGAUACUUCCUAGCCGUUGAUCCUGGGCAAGUCUCUUAAUCCCAUUUGCCUAGCCCUUUUCCACUCUUCUGCCUUGGAACCAAUAUUUAGUAUCAAUUCUAAAACAGAUAAUAAUGGUUUAAAAGAAAAAAAAUAAAAUGACAUCUUUUCUGAGCUCCAGUUUAGCCAGGAGAAUAAUCUCAGCCUCCUAGGAUAUAGGAGGGAUGAAAUAUAGCAAGCUCCGUGGAAAUUGUAGCUAUUCUUACUACUCUCAUCAUCAGUGGUUACCCAACUGCUCAGGAAUUGGCCUUAAGCUUUCUUCCAGUUGUAUGCUCAGCCCCCAUUUCUUGGUGAGCGGGUAGCAGAAAAUGGAAAGGGGAGACCUGGCUUUCCCACCUGUGUCCUGGCAAAGCACAUACACCCAGCCUCUAUUCAUUGAUAUAGGUGCCAUACCUAGAGCAGAAGGCCAAAGGCCUACUUAAGCUCACCCCAGAAAUAAUGCACCUGAAAGCAGCAAGGUUAUACCUACGAGGAACUUGUUUUGGGGAAGUGCUCAGGAAAAUGUCUUCCAAUGAUGCAGAUGACGGUGAAUGGCAGGGGUCCAUCAUUUCUCCCAAGCAACUAACUGGCUCUUCUGUCCACAAGGAACUAGACUCAAAACCAACCUGACAGUCCCCAAACCAUAGGCAUUCUGACCUCCAUAGACCACAUGUUUUCCCUCUCUUUUGCCAGGAAGUGUCAACAUCCUGUUUAGAUUGAAGAGAUGGGAUCUUCCUUUCUCAAGAAGCAGCAUGCUAAUGACAAUUCUUGUCCCAGGAGGAGUCUGGGAUAUUCCUAGGAGGUCGGCACUUUCUCUGCAACUGAGAGUUAGAGAAUUGGCCUAGACCACUGAGAAGGAUUAUAUAUUCUGAUCUGGAAAGUACCUGAGAGAAUUCUUAUAGUUCCAUUCUCUUUACUUUACAAAUGAGGAAACUAAGAUCCAGGAAGGUCAUUCCUUAUCCGAGUUCUAGCAGCUGGUAAGGAGUAAAACUGAGAUGCACACCCAUGCCCUCAUCCUAAAAUACCAUGUUCCUUCUCUAAAGAGUGAAAGAGAAAAUUUGCAAAAGAGAGGAAGAUGCAAAGGAAGGACAUCUGGAAGGAAAGCAAGAAGCAGCUCACAAGAGGGAAGGGCAGAAAGGAAGGGACGCAGAAUUCCAAACGGAACAAGAGCUGAGAGAACUGAGAAACUGCCACUUCAACUCUGACUCCUUCAGCUAAGAGCCUGACAAGAGGAUCUCAAAGGCUGGAGGUUUCCCUUUGGACACCAAUGGCUUCCCUGGAGAUCUUUUGCUAAUCUCAACACAGUAGAUUGGACUUUAGAAGAAGCCAUCUACUGAGGAAAUCCUCUCCAAGGAUUUUCUCCAUUUCUCUAUUCCCCAGUCUGUACUGAACUCCAACAAUAACCAAAUUAGCUCAGGAAUAGGGACAACCAGCAGCUGACCAGAAGAAGGAUCAAGACUUAGAACCUGGACCCCAUGAAAUUUGGGGGGUCAGUUUGUCAGUCUUUAGGGACUCCUGCUCCCCACUUUCCUUACUCAACCCUCCUAUUUCCUCUUCCCUGGGUGAUUUUCUAUUAAAGUGUUAUUAUAUAGAC